UGGGGAAUAUUGGACAAUGGGCGAAAGCCUGAUCCAGCCAUGCCGCGUGUGUGAAGAAGGCCUUUUGGUUGUAAAGCACUUUAAGUGGGGAGGAAAAGCUUAUGGUUAAUACCCAUAAGCCCUGACGUUACCCACAGAAUAAGCACCGGCUAACUCUGUGCCAGCAGCCGCGGUAAUACAGAGGGUGCAAGCGUUAAUCGGAAUUACUGGGCGUAAAGCGCGCGUAGGUGGUUAUUUAAGUCAGAUGUGAAAGCCCCGGGCUUAACCUGGGAACUGCAUCUGAUACUGGAUAACUAGAGUAGGUGAGAGGGGAGUAGAAUUCCAGGUGUAGCGGUGAAAUGCAUAGAGAUCUGGAGGAAUACCGAUGGCGAAGGCAGCUCCCUGGCAUCAUACUGACACUGAGGUGCGAAAGCGUGGGUAGCAAACAGGAUUAGAUACCCUGGUAGUCCACGCCGUAAACGAUGUCUACCAGUCGUUGGGUCUUUUAAAGACUUAGUGACGCAGUUAAUGCAAUAAGUAGACCGCCUGGGGAGUACGGCCGCAAGGUUA
Molecule: ribosomal RNA, 549 nt
Filed under: uncultured bacterium
Lineage: Bacteria
Description: bacterial SSU rRNA
Rfam family: Bacterial small subunit ribosomal RNA
Source: RNAcentral